UAAUAUAUAGUGAAACCACAAUAAGUUGCAAACUUAUAAAUGCUUAUAGCUAUAUUAA
Molecule: transfer RNA, 58 nt
Filed under: Metacrangonyx spinicaudatus
Lineage: Eukaryota; Metazoa; Arthropoda; Malacostraca; Amphipoda; Metacrangonyctidae
Description: transfer RNA Cysteine
Source: RNAcentral